GAGUUUGAUCCUGGCUCAGAACGAACGCUGGCGGCAUGCCUAACACAUGCAAGUCGAACGAAGCCUUCGGGCUUAGUGGCGCACGGGUGCGUAACACGUGGGAAUCUGCCCUUAGGUACGGAAUAACAGUUAGAAAUGACUGCUAAUACCGUAUGAUGCCGCAAGGCCAAAGAUUUAUCGCCUAGGGAUGAGCCCGCGUCGGAUUAGCUAGUUGGUGGGGUAAAGGCCUACCAAGGCGACGAUCCGUAGCUGGUCUGAGAGGAUGAUCAGCCACACUGGGACUGAGACACGGCCCAGACUCCUACGGGAGGCAGCAGUGGGGAAUAUUGGACAAUGGGCGAAAGCCUGAUCCAGCAAUGCCGCGUGAGUGAAGAAGGCCUUAGGGUCGUAAAGCUCUUUUACCCGGGAUGAUAAUGACAGUACCGGGAGAAUAAGCCCCGGCUAACUCCGUG
Molecule: ribosomal RNA, 452 nt
Filed under: uncultured Sphingosinicella sp.
Lineage: Bacteria; Pseudomonadati; Pseudomonadota; Alphaproteobacteria; Sphingomonadales; Sphingosinicellaceae
Description: bacterial SSU rRNA
Rfam family: Bacterial small subunit ribosomal RNA
Source: RNAcentral